Long non-coding RNA from Cebus imitator (Panamanian white-faced capuchin), 3317 nucleotides. RefSeq lists it as uncharacterized. The transcript is spliced from 4 exons. The record is from RefSeq and is a predicted model, not a curated record. NCBI's taxonomy places the organism in Eukaryota, Metazoa, Chordata, Mammalia, Primates, Cebidae.
GUGGUGUGCACCUGUAAUCUCAGCUACUCAAGAGGCUGAGACAGGAGAACUGCUUAAACCCAGGAGGCAGAGGUUGCAGUGAGCCAAGAUUGCACCACUGCACUCCAGCCUGGCAAGAAAAAGUAACUACCCGUGGAGAUGUUCUGAUGGUUAGAUGGGACCAACCUGUGACGGUGCUUCAUAUGCCUUAAGCAACCCUGGCAUCACUGCUGUUCUCCUUAUCAUCAUCAGUGAUAAGUAUAAUUCUACUUGACUGGGAGGCUCAGAGAGCCUAAGUAACUUGUCCAAGGUCAUCAGCUAAUAAGCAACGAUCUAUAGGUUUUUGUCAUACUAGCAUUCAUGUUCCCUCUUUUAUACUUUGUAGCUUGGACAAGAAAUACUGAACUUCAUCUUCUCAAAAUCAUUUCCCAUUUUAUAAUGAGAAUAAUAUGACUUUUCUUUCUUCCCCUGCAGGUGAGAUGCAAUCCUUGAGGUUUGUGUGCCUUGAAAAUUGCAGAGCUGUUUGCACGUAAGAUGCCCCAUGUCAUCCCCCAGGUUGACAGAUAAAUUCUUUGCAGGAAAGUAUUGUGGUUGGCACAGCUAUGCAGGCAUAGAGUAAAUAUUCAAUAAACAUGUGGGCUGAGCCCAAGAGGGCUGUGGUGGGCAGGACCCUGUGGCACUGACGUGAGGUUUCCUGCCACCCCCAGCGUUGAGGCAGUGGGUGAUCUUAUGGAGGUGGAGUCAGGAAGCAGGGGGAGGCCCCCAGCCUUGAUAACAGGCCCACUUCCUCUGCCACCCAGCCACAUCAAAGCAGAAUAAACUGUUUCAUUCAUUCCCAUGGCAACUGGGUCCCUAAGACUUCAUGGUGGAGAUCUCCCCCCACGUCCCUUCUCAUUUCUCCCUGUGACUUUACCAGGACCUACCUUCUAAGCUAACACCACUGCAGCCCUUAGUGCCCCCAGCACUGUGAAAUCAAUUAGGCCAACAUUAAUCCUCACUAACUGCAUUGACAGGGAGGCAUUGCUAUACUCCCAUUUUACAGCUGAGGAAACUGAAGCUCACAAGCUAAAUGUCUUGCUGAAGGCCCACAGUUAGUGAGCAGCAGACCCAGGAUUUGAAAGCACAAUGGUCUGGUCCCAAGGACUAGUAGUCACCAAGUUAUUCUGCCUCUCCUUCAAGCAUUCAAGUUCCCUGGCCUCCAUUCUAGUCCUGUCUCCACUUAACUGGGGGUGGGGGGGACUCAGGAAUUGGGCAAAAAGAUUACCGCAUGCCUGUUAAAAAUCAUAUGAGAGCAUUUUCAACAAGCUGCAGGCUUCACAGUUUAUCAUUCCAGGGUUUGGGCCUCACCAUUGCCUGCCCCUCUAUGCCACAUCUGCUUUCUGGGCUGCCCAGAACAGAGUUUCUACCCAGCCGCCUGCAAAAAUAUCUCAAGGCAUAGCAUGCAUUGAGCUGAGGAGAGACAGCUGGUUCUAUUGAAAUUGGGAAGUGGUCUCCCCACAGGUAAUCCCCUCCCCUAACCUCAUAACUCCCUUAUCCUUUUCAAAACAAAAAAAAGAAUCAUUUAGGUCUUUGGUAUAAACCCAAGGCCCUGCCAGGACAUUUGGAUUUUAAAUUCUUUCUCUGAGCAUUGUAGAAAGGAAGGAAAGCAUUGCCUCCUAGCAAAGGAACUCCAGUCACCAGCAAGCUCAGAAGAGAUCCAGGUCUGUUUGUUUUGGGAGGGAGUGAGGGAGGGAAUGGAGUUUGACCUUAAACUGGCUUGUUCCUUUAGGGUUUGUUCUUUUCCUUGGGAAACUGAGUUGGCAGACGCCUUUCAGGAUCCAGCCCCUCCUAAGGGUUUUCCUGAUGUCCUAAAUCUCCACCCAAGUCUCUACUAUGAGAUUCAACCAUCAGAUGCUUGACAAUGUCAUGAAGAAGAGCCUCCAAGGUUGUGAACCAAGGCAUAGGCAGAAGUGAACCAAAGGUUACAAGACUGAUGCAACACAUUCACUGAGAUGGAGAAGUUUGAGGAGAGGAUAAUUUGGGAGUGGAAAACAAGAGUCCUUCUUUGUCCGAGUUCUAUCCCCAUCUGACCCCAGUGGAGAGGUCUGGGCUAUAGCUCUCUAUUUGGGAGUUCACAUGGUACCAUGGUCACUGAGGCUGUGAACCAUGUGAAGAGAGAAGUGUGGAGAGAACACCUCCAGUGUUAAGAGGUGGCACUGGAAGAAUCACCAAAGGAACACUGAGAAGAUGCAGCUCAUGAACAGGAAGAGAACACGAUGUCCCAGGAUCCAAAACAAGUGUGUUUCAAGGAGGGAGUGGGGAAUGCUGCUGCAAGAUCUACAACAUGAGGGCAGAGAAGUGGCCACUGCAUCUGGUGACGUGGAGGGUUUGGGUGAGCAUGAAGGAACAAGUGCAGGGAGAAUACCAAACGGAAAGGGCUGAGGAGAGAGAAGAAGUGGCAGAGAGGCAACUCCUUUGGGAAGCUUUGCUCAAGACUUGGGUUUAUGAGAUGCCCCAGAAUCCUUCUAUCAUACUCAAAUAUAUUUAUCUCAUAAAAGAGGUGCUAUUUGAGAGUCCACUCCAAAGAAGGGGUAUUUUCACCAUUAGAUGUGAAGGAAUAAUUGGCACUGGACUAAGCCUCCCUCCAUAAACAAUUGUAGGACGAGCCAAAAGAGUUGAAGCAACUGUUUAUAGACACUGGACAACAGGCAAGCACAGGCCUGUAAUCCCUCAGAGAAGAGAAAUACACAAGGUGAGCCUCUUGAUUUUCCUGGCUUUCUGCUGGAAGGCCCUUCCAUGGUUUAAAGCAUAGAGGUAGAACCCAAGCAGAGUACAGAGGGCUUUCUGAGUUGAGGAGCCAGAAAUUGGAGUUUGGAGUCUAGAAAUGGCUGGGAUGUGUGGGGCAAGAAACUGGAAAAGAGGGAAAUGUGAAAAAGAGGAGGUCAAGAAGACCUUAGCUGAAUACUAAGCUGUGCAUGCAGGGUAAGACCGUGUGAAGCCUGGCAGAAACAGCUACUGGAAAGCCUGGAGUUGAGCAGAGGUUCUAGAAGUUGCAAAGUGCUGGGAGACAUUGAAUUUCCAAUCAGCCAGGGUGGAGGAACAUCACUGAAUACCUCAGGCAUUCAACUGAGAUCCUAGAAGGGCAAUGCUUGGCAUCUAGACAUCCAUUAAGUUUUAAGAAACACUUGAAGGGAUCCUGCUUAUCCAACUAUAACUUAAGUGCCUGCCAGAAUACAAUUCUUUAAAGAAAAACAAGAAAAUCCAGACUCUCAAGAAUGUGGCAUCCACAAUGCCUAGAAUACAUUUAAAAAUUACUAGACAGAGGCUGGGCGCAGUGGCCUAUGCCUGUAAUCCCAGCA